This 222-nucleotide unclassified non-coding RNA is filed under the name Hevea brasiliensis (rubber tree). Lineage: Eukaryota; Viridiplantae; Streptophyta; Magnoliopsida; Malpighiales; Euphorbiaceae. The record is from RNAcentral.
GACAAAAACCGACCAUCUGGAGAACACAACCUUGUGGAAUGGGCGAAACCUUACCUCACUAGCAAACGAAGAGUUCUUCAAAUGUUAGAUGCACGAAUCGAAGGCCAAUAUUCGACUGGAGGAGCACUGAAAGCAGCUAAACUUGCCAUUCAAUGUAUAUCGACAGAACCCAAGUUAAGACCGAAUAUGAACACGGUGGUGAAAGCAUUGGAGCAACUUCAG